GAUAUUCAGACUAGCCAUGCACGUCUAAGUACAAACUAAAUGAUGGUGAAACUGCAAAUGGCUCAUUACAACGGUUAUGAUGUACCCGGGAGUUCCGAUGGAUAUUUCCAGUAACACUAGAACUAAUACAUGUCCCUGCGUUUAUUAGUUUCGCACAGUCCGUCGCUGAGUCAUGGUAAACAGUUGAUCGACUCGACGUCCCGGAACAGUUUCCGCCCCAUCAGCUUCGAUGGUUGGGUAUUGGCCUACCAUUGCAACAACGGGUAACGAGGAAUUAGGGUUUGAUUUCGGAGAGGGAGCCUGAGAAACGGCUACCACAUCUACGGAUGGCAGCAGGCGCGCAAAUUACCCAAUGCAGACACUGUGAGGUAGUGACGAGAAAUAAUAAAGCGGGACUUCUGUUUCGCUAUUAUAAUGAGGAAUAACCAAAGGUCAUUCCGAUUAGCAACUGAUGGGAAAGUCUGGUGCCAGCAGCCGCGGUAAUACCAGCGUCAGUAGCA
This 500-nucleotide ribosomal RNA is filed under the name uncultured Myrionecta. RNAcentral's name for it is "SSU rRNA". It matches the Rfam family "Eukaryotic small subunit ribosomal RNA", at positions 34 to 598 of the family's 1831-position model. The record is from RNAcentral. Lineage: Eukaryota; Ciliophora; Litostomatea; Cyclotrichida; Mesodiniidae.